Molecule: long non-coding RNA, 1968 nt
Organism: Cornus florida
Lineage: Eukaryota; Viridiplantae; Streptophyta; Magnoliopsida; Cornales; Cornaceae
Exons: 3
Source: RefSeq, a predicted model, not a curated record
UUCCUCCACUCACACAUUUUCACAUUUCAUCUCUUUUUUCCUCACCACAAAACCCUAGCCUCCAUGGAUGAAGCUUGAAGCUUUAGGCAUUAACCUUGAUCUUUGAGGCCCUUCCACUUACUUUAGACCAUAAAGCUUGGAAUACUUUUUGUUCCCCUCAUCCUCCUCUUCAAAACCCUUGAAGGAUCUAACCUAACUCCUAGUUUUGCUUUGGUAUCUAGGGAUUCAAUUCUUUAGUGAGACCAAAAAUUUAGGGUGAUUUCAUUUUGGUGGUAAUUGGGAUUUUCAUUCCAAUUGAGGUCGAUGCAUGCUCAUUUCCUACGAGUAGCUUUAUGUUACUCACCCCUACGAUACUGGGGCAUAUUUCAAGUACAGGAUACAAGAUUGGAGAUUGCAAUUGCUUGGGUGAUUUGCUGAGUUGAGCUUCUUUAGAAACAUUCUUGUUCACAUGCAAGUGUUAGCAUGUUCAUGAUUUGUCUAUGAAAUGUAAUUUUUCUAACUUGGAGGUCUGACAUGUCAAAUGUUGUAAAUGAGUUGUAAUAAGGCCAUGGGCCAUUGUAGCAUGUUUAAAAUACCAUUUUACACUUGCGUGUAUGUUCACAUCAUCACACAAUAGCAGAUAAUGCAAUUUGAUCAUGCUAUGGGGAGUCAUUUUGAUGCCUUAGGGAUGACGUACAUCUCCAGUGGCCACUUAGUUUCCUUCGUUUCCGCAUUUCGAAUCCAUUAUCGGGUCAUUCUUUUGGUUCAUCACAGGACACACUAGGUUGAAAAAUCUAGGGUCGUCACAUAUUCGAUUGAUUUUUGCAAAAGUUUUUUUUGGAAAACCAUGUUCUCCAACAAACUAGGCAAGUUUAAGAAAAUAAUGUAUUUGAUCUAAAGAAAAAUCUUUUUCCCAGUCAACAGUGAGACAGAUCUGGAUGCAAAGCUUUUUUAUAUUGCAGCAACCCUGCAAGGAAAUGCUCUUGAUUGGCUUCGCUAGUGGGAUCAAACAGAUCAAGGUAAGUGACAGAAAGGUGAGCUUCUUAAUAAUUUUAACGAACUCGACGCCAUUCUACAAGGAUUCGUCAAGAUCCUUAAAAAAGAACUCGUUGGUCAUACCGGAGAAACCCUCCUUUUCGAUGAUGUUCGUUCGUAAACUGGACUUCUUCUCCAAUAACAUUACUGAGUUUAAUGUUAGAGGAUUCUUCUUCAGGAUGAGACACGCCUAAUGUCUUACAUCAUACUCUAUAGUCUCAUUAGACGGCAAUGGUGUGGUUCUAAUUUUACUUCGAGUAGCUAACCAUCAAUGCAACUAGCUAGAAUCAAAACUUUUCUCACCUAUUCCUUUCCCAAAAAAAAUUUAAAAAAAAAACAAAUAAUAAUAAUAUAGGCAAUGAGCUCAAGCCCACCAGAGCUAAAGUCAAUUGGAGCUUUAUUUACAGACCUAAAGAAUGUGGUGGCUUUAGGUAUUCCUAACAUUGCCACCCUUAAUAGAAUUUCUAUUCUUAGGCAUGUUCGGAAUUUUUUUGAGGAUAAUGGGCAAUCAAUUUGGCAUGACUGGGUGCAUAUUAUUCUUAUCAAAGAUAAAAGUUUUUGGAGCAUCAAGCCGUCUCCUGGAAUUGGGGGGGAUGAUUCUCAAGCACAGAGGACUGGCUAGGCCAUUUCUUAAGCACAUUAAUAUAGGAGAUGGGAAAUGUAUUUCUAUGUGGCAUGACUAUUGGCUUCCUCUAGGGCCUUGACAAAAUAAUUGAUCCAUUACUUAUACCCAUUCCUCAUUUGCAGCUUGUUGUUUGUGGUUCGUUUUGGUAUCACAAUAAAAUAAAGAUAUAAAGGUGAUAUCUUAAACACAAAUAUGAAGGUGCUUGAUGAAGGAGGAGAAGGAGACCGAUCUCAAUAAAUUUAGAUGGAGGUAGGGAGAAUAUGCAAUCAUUGUGAUAGAGUUUUAAUUCUGUCUUGUAGUCCUGCCUCAUUCAUUAUGAGAGAGUGUUA